Molecule: ribosomal RNA, 564 nt
Filed under: uncultured crenarchaeote
Lineage: Archaea; Thermoproteati; Thermoproteota
Description: bacterial SSU rRNA
Rfam family: Archaeal small subunit ribosomal RNA
Source: RNAcentral
GGAGUCACGCCAGAAAUCUUACCCGGAGAGACAGCAGAAUGAAGGUCAAGCUGAAGACUUUACCAGACAAGCUGAGAGGUGGUGCAUGGCCGUCGCCAGCUCGUGCCGUGAGAUGUCCUGUUAAGUCAGGUAACGAGCGAGAUCCCUGCCACUAGUUGCUAUCAUUAUUCUCAGGAAUAGUGGGGCGAAUUAGUGGGACUGCCGUUGUUAAAACGGAGGAAGGAAGGGGCUACGGCAGGUCAGUAUGCCCCGAAACUCUGGGGCCACACGCGGGCUGCAAUGGUAGUGACAAUGAGUUCCAAACUCGAAAGAGAGUGGCAAUCUCUAAACGCUACCACAGUUAUGACUGAGGGCUGUAACUCGCCCUCACGAAUAUGGAAUCCCUAGUAACCGCGUGUCAUUACCGCGCGGUGAAUACGUCCCUGCUCCUUGCACACACCGCCCGUCGUUUCAUCGAAGUUUGCUUUUAGCGAGGUGAUGUUUAAUUGGCAUUAUCGAACUUGAGGUAAGCGACGAGGGAAAAGUCGUAACAAGGUGACCGUAGGGGAACCUGCGGUCGGAUCA